RNAcentral lists this long non-coding RNA (359 nucleotides) under Panax ginseng (ginseng). RNAcentral's name for it is "long non-coding RNA (PGIN_LNC014617)". Lineage: Eukaryota; Viridiplantae; Streptophyta; Magnoliopsida; Apiales; Araliaceae. The record is from RNAcentral.
UUUUAACGAAAACGAUAAACGUUCGUGAACGUUCAACGCUCGUUUCUUUGUUCUAAGUCGGAAUUCGGUCAUUUUCGAGUUCGCAACUCUAUAAUGCCAAAUAAGACUUCCUCCCAUCGAAAACCAAUGUUUUUGAGCUCAAAAUCAAAAUUUGACUUCCAUUCUGGGAAUUUUACGAAUUCGACGAUUAUCGUCUAAUCGCGUGAAUUCCGGCAUAACUUCGUUACUAAGAUUUGUUCAUCGUUCCAAAUGGAUUCUAUCCAUCACAUUAACAUCUUAACCUACUCAUUUCAUUAACUUAUUUUCAUGAUAAGUUAUUACUUGUUCUUCAUUAGCUUAUAACUUAUCAAAGUAUAAAC